This 394-nucleotide ribosomal RNA is filed under the name uncultured Lactobacillus sp. Its description in RNAcentral is "bacterial SSU rRNA". It matches the Rfam family "Bacterial small subunit ribosomal RNA", at positions 68 to 446 of the family's 1533-position model. Lineage: Bacteria; Bacillati; Bacillota; Bacilli; Lactobacillales; Lactobacillaceae. The record is from RNAcentral.
AACAGAUUUACUUCGGUAAUGACGUUAGGAAAGCGAGCGGCGGAUGGGUGAGUAACACGUGGGGAACCUGCCCCAUAGUCUGGGAUACCACUUGGAAACAGGUGCUAAUACCGGAUAAGAAAGCAGAUCGCAUGAUCAGCUUUUAAAAGGCGGCGUAAGCUGUCGCUAUGGGAUGGCCCCGCGGUGCAUUAGCUAGUUGGUAAGGUAAAGGCUUACCAAGGCGAUGAUGCAUAGCCGAGUUGAGAGACUGAUCGGCCACAUUGGGACUGAGACACGGCCCAAACUCCUACGGGAGGCAGCAGUAGGGAAUCUUCCACAAUGGACGCAAGUCUGAUGGAGCAACGCCGCGUGAGUGAAGAAGGGUUUCGGAUCGUAAAGCUCUGUUGUUGGUGAA